This 405-nucleotide ribosomal RNA is filed under the name uncultured bacterium. Its description in RNAcentral is "bacterial SSU rRNA". It matches the Rfam family "Bacterial small subunit ribosomal RNA", at positions 352 to 774 of the family's 1533-position model. The record is from RNAcentral.
CAGUGGGGAAUAUUGGGCAAUGGGCGCAAGCCUGACCCAGCAAUGCCGCGUGGGUGAAGAAGGUCUUCGGAUUGUAAAGCCCUUUCGACGGGGACGAUGAUGACGGUACCCGUAGAAGAAGCCCCGGCUAACUUCGUGCCAGCAGCCGCGGUAAUACGAAGGGGGCUAGCGUUGCUCGGAAUUACUGGGCGUAAAGGGCGCGUAGGCGGCUCUGUCAGUCAGGCGUGAAAUUCCUGGGCUCAACCUGGGGACUGCGCUUGUGACUGCAAGGCUAGAGUAUGGCAGAGGGGGGUGGAAUUCCACGUGUAGCAGUGAAAUGCGUAGAGAUGUGGAGGAACACCAAUGGCGAAGGCAGCCCCCUGGGCCAAUACUGACGCUGAGGCACGAAAGCGUGGGGAGCAAACA